The submitters of this non-coding RNA (111 nucleotides) gave its source as unclassified sequences. The record is from Rfam.
AACCAGCAUCUAGAAACACCUCGAAAGAGGUGUGGCAACCGAGCCCACCAGGCCACGGUGCCUCCCGACAACGGGGAUGCGGCGCGACGAGCGCAAAAGAACUGGUGCUCG